AUUUUCCGGUUGAUCCUGCCGGACCCAACUGCUAUCAGAGUGAGAUUAAGCCAUGCGAGUCAACGUAGCAAUACGUGGCACACGGCUCAGUAACACGUAGUCAACAUAACCAAAGGACGUGGAUAAACUCGGGAAACUGAGGCUAAACCGCGAUAGACCAAGAUUCCCGGAAUGGUUUUUGAUUAAAAUCUAUAUGGCCUUUGGAUUGGACUGCGACCGAUCAGGCUGUUGGUGAGGUAACGGCCCACCAAACCUGUAACCGGUACGGGCUCUGAGAGGAGGAGCCCGGAGAUGGGUACUGAGACAAGGACCCAGGCCCUAUGGGGCGCAGCAGGCGCGAAACCUCUGCAAUAGGCGAAAGCCUGACAGGGUUAUUCUGAGUGACUUUCGCUAAGAAAGUCUUUUGACACCUCUAAAAAUGGUGUAGAAUAAGGGGUGGGCAAGUCUGGUGUCAGCCGCCGCGGUAAUACCAGCACCCCGAGUGGUCGGGACGAUUAUUGGGCCUAAAGCAUCCGUAGCCGGUUUACAAGUCCUCCGUUAAAUCCAACUGCUUAACAGAUGGGCCGCGGAGGAUACUAUAAGACUAGGAGGCAGGAGAGGCAAGCGGUACUCAGUGGGUAGGGGUAAAAUCCGUUGAUCCAUUGAAGACCACCAGUGGCGAAGGCGGCUUGCCAGAAUGCGCUCGACGGUGAGGGAUGAAAGCUGGGGGAGCAAACCGGAUUAGAUACCCGGGUAGUCCCAGCUGUAAACGAUGCAGACUCGGUGAUGGACUAGCUUCAUGCUAGUCCAGUGCCGCAGGGAAGCCGUUAAGUCUGCCGCCUGGGUAGUACGGUCGCAAGACUGAAACUUAAAGGAAUUGGCGGGAAU
RNAcentral lists this ribosomal RNA (867 nucleotides) under uncultured archaeon. RNAcentral describes it as "bacterial SSU rRNA". It matches the Rfam family "Archaeal small subunit ribosomal RNA", at positions 1 to 875 of the family's 1478-position model. The record is from RNAcentral.